Myotis myotis is the source of this 1786-nucleotide RNA transcript. It is a transcript of the gene named cytochrome b5, with no coding region annotated. The transcript is spliced from 6 exons. The record is from RefSeq and is a predicted model, not a curated record. NCBI's taxonomy places the organism in Eukaryota, Metazoa, Chordata, Mammalia, Chiroptera, Vespertilionidae.
AGCAAGCCGCCCUCGGGGAGGUGCCGCUUGCCCGCCCCCGGCGCCCUCCGGGACCCGGGGGGAAUGUCCCGGCCCUGGCUCCGAGAAGCGCUUUGCUCCGCCCGGCGUGGCUGCUGUCUGCUGGCCCUGAAGCUCGCGGUGUUCCGAAAUGGCCGAGCCGUCGGACCAGGCCGUCAAGUACUACACCCUGGAGGAGAUCCAGAAGCACAACCACAGCAAGAGCACCUGGCUGAUCCUGCACCACAAGGUGUAUGAUGUGACCAAAUUUUUGGAGGAGCAUCCUGGUGGGGAAGAAGUCUUACGGGAACAAGCCGGAGGGGAUGCUACUGAGAACUUUGAAGAUGUUGGGCACUCAACAGAUGCUAGAGAAUUGUCCAAAACAUAUAUCAUCGGGGAGCUGCAUCCAGAUGACAGACCAAAGAUAACCAAGCCCACGGAUUCUUAACGGCCAUGUUCCCAGGAAACUCUCAUUACUACGAUUGACUCAAAUUCUAGCUGGUGGACCAACUGGGUGAUUCCAGCCAUCUCCGCACUGGUUGUGGCCCUGAUGUACCACCUCUACAUGGCAGAAGACUAAACACCUCCACAGAAGCCGAUGGGAAAAAAGGCUGCCUUGGAUCAAGAAGAAAGAAGCCAGUGUUAGCUGCUUCGACGAACAGAAACCUUCACCUGAAAAGUAAUUUUAAUACACCUAUUUCCCCCUCCUACGUUAGAAACAAACCAAGUCAAAAAGAACUGUUCUGUUCUGUCUACCCUUGAACUUUCGCAUUGUGCCUUCUUCCUCAUCAACUCUUUUCAACGUCCCACGACUACGUGAUUUACUCACUGUAGGCACGAUCUUUCGAAAAUGCACCUGGCUUUUCAAAUAUACCACCCUGUGUGCCUGUCAGUGUGGGAUGUAAUUGUCUUUAAUGUUUCAAAUCUCUGAUUGUCUAGCGGAGUCAUUUAAUGUAUUAAUUAAAUGAAGGUCGUAUGACGUGAAGGUUUGUAUGAUGUGAGGAAGGGAAUAUCUAGUUGAAAACUUGGUAUUGCAUGUUUCCUAUUUAAUUUCUUUCUCAAGGAAAUUAAGAAAGGCCCUGGGUAUGAUAGCCUAAAGAUGUCUAAAAAUUGUUCUACCUGAGAUGAUCAAAAGAAAAAGUGGAGAUUUCUUCUCUUCUUUGUUUAAAAAAUACCAGCAACAAAAAACAAACUUGAAGCCCAUGAGAGGACAGUACAGCUGUCUUCUCUCUCAGCUCCAAAAUAUCAGUCCAAAGUUUUGGGUUAUAUAGGUUCUCAAGGUGAAAACUGUUUGUGUAUUCUUGCAAGGAAAUGCUGAUUUUCUAAUCCAUAAAAAUACACAUUUGAAAGAGAUUGUGGGGCAUUUGGAAUCUGAUGUUUGAAGGCAUUGAGCUGUCGGAGAUGAGCCUUGGGGGAUCUAGCAGGGCUCCGAGGACUGAGUGGCUCAUCUCCGAUUAUUUUCUCUGCCCCAUGCUUUUUGUCUUUCAAAGUGGAAGCCGGGGGAUGAAUCUGUAGACACUCAGUGCUCUAGUUAGCUUUGACUGUGCAAGUUUUCAUGGGCAUGCUAGCUGACUACAGAGGUGAGGGUUCUUCAGAAACCACUGACACACUGAAAGGAAUUUUUUUUUUACUACAGAGAAUAAAUUUUUAUAACCCUUGACAUGUAUCACCCUUUGCAUCUUCUGUCACUGAAAGUUAAAGUUGGAGCAAAUCUAGGGGGUGGGGAAAGAUGCUGUAUCAUGGGGGAAUCCUUUACUCAGAUUUCAAUAAACGCAUGCCUGGAACAAAA